RNAcentral lists this long non-coding RNA (484 nucleotides) under Elaeis guineensis (African oil palm). RNAcentral describes it as "long non-coding RNA (EGUI_LNC047198)". Lineage: Eukaryota; Viridiplantae; Streptophyta; Magnoliopsida; Arecales; Arecaceae. The record is from RNAcentral.
AGCUUUACAGCCCAAUAAAAAUUUUCACACACCAAUACUAAUAUAAUAAUAAUAAAUAAAAAAAUAAUAAUGAUUAUUACUCAUAUAAAUCUCAUGUCGAAAGAUAUCGCAAUUCAUAAAAUAUGCAUAGCAAAUAUUUAUAUUUUUACAUAAUAAAUGACAUCUUAUAAUUAUCUUAAGACUACCAUAAUCACGUAUCCGAUCAUAUUAAGGUGCUCAACUCUAGACUACCACGAUCACAUAUCAAGUCUGUGAUAAGACAACAAAAGUGGCUAGUCCUGUGGACUACCACAACCACUUGUGCAAAGGGUGAUAAAGUGGAUAGUCUUGUGGACUACCACGAUCAUGUUUCAAGCCCGUGAUAGGCAUCAAGAAAAUAGAUAGCCCAAAGGACUACAGAUGCUCAACUUUGAACUACCACCAAUGUUUCAAGCCCACGGCGGGAUCUCAUAAAGUGGCUAGUCCACUGGUCCAAAAGACCCCU